AGCGGACUGUCAAGAAAUUAGUCUUAUGAGAAUCAGUUUUUAGUAAAGUUCUUCAUCAUCGUUUUCGUGACUUUGAAAAUGAAAUUGAGUUUGAUCUUCUUUGUUAUAAUUAACGUUUUUUGCAUUGAUAUUGAAUCGAUUUCUAAUGGAACGUUUGUUACUAUAAAGGAAGCGCCAUUUUAUGCAACAAAGAAUUUUGUGGUGGGUCAAUAAUUUCGGACUAUUGGAUAGUAUAAGCAGCUCACUAUUUUCUGGACUUUGAAAACCAAGAUGUAACAAUCCGAUCCGAUUCGAGUACUAAUUUGACCUUCGGAAAAAAACAUAAAAUUGAAAAAGUCAUUACAUCUGAAGAUUAUAAUAUACUGGAUUUUUCUAAAACAACCGGAACGCAUGAUAUUAGUCUAAUAAAAAGUAUUGGAUAGUAUCAGCAGCUCACUGUUUCAGCAACUUCAGAGACGAUUUAGUACGAAUUCGAUCCAGUUCUAGUACUACUGCUGUAAAAGGAAGAAAACACAAAAUUGAAAAGGUACUCAUACCUGAAAAUUUCAACAUACCGGAUUCUAGAAAAGGAACACAUGAUAUCAGUCUUAUAAAACUAUAAAAGCCAAUUAUAUUUGAUGAAUUUCAACAACCGAUACAAAUUUCUCGAAAUCCACCAAGAGACAAUGACAAGGCAACCAUAUAUGGUUUAGGCCAUCAGGGUACGACUCGUACGGACACGUUAGUUCUCAAAAUGGUAGAACUCAAUAUUAUCAGUAAAAAAGAUUGUGAACAAGUAUGGCACGAGACAGACGAUGUAUUUUGUACUGAGGAUGGCAUUACGAGCACAAACGCUUGUAAAGGUGAAACGGUCACGACUUAUCUCGGUCCUGUAGUAAUUAAAUUUAUUUUUUUGCGGAGCUUGUACGGGGUGUUACAAAGGAGACUCUGGAGGCCCAGUGGUGAUUGACGGCAAGCUAGCAGGAGUUGUUAGCCAGGGAUUCUCAUGCAAAAUUUCUAACAGGGGAUCACCAGGAUUUCAUACCAAAGUUCAUAAACAGUAUGAUUGGAUUAGGAAAAAAAGGGUAUAAAAUAUUGAAGACACCUUAUAAAAAAGUGCUUCAUAAAAGUAGAUUUGCUUAAUAAAAGUUAGAUUAUUGAAUAGGAAUUCUUAAACACUUAAAGGUACCUCUACCUAAAGUCCUGACUUCAUCACAAAGGUUGUGUUUUUUUUUAUUCUGGUGAAAAUAAAUUUGUAAAUUAAUUUAUUUGGGGCCGCAGUAGCACCCUAAUGACAAGUAUGCCUUGUUACAACAUAAAUAUGAAGACUAUUAUGUACUCGGUGUAAUAACGUUGUAUGUUCAUUCAAGAUUAUGCACGAAAUAAAUAUAUAUAUCAAAACAAAA
Molecule: long non-coding RNA, 1385 nt
Filed under: Nasonia vitripennis (jewel wasp)
Lineage: Eukaryota; Metazoa; Arthropoda; Insecta; Hymenoptera; Pteromalidae
Description: uncharacterized LOC116415768, transcript variant X10
Source: RNAcentral